RNAcentral lists this ribosomal RNA (497 nucleotides) under uncultured bacterium. RNAcentral describes it as "partial 16S ribosomal RNA". It matches the Rfam family "Bacterial small subunit ribosomal RNA", at positions 28 to 507 of the family's 1533-position model. The record is from RNAcentral.
GAUGAACGCUGGCGGCGUGCCUAAUACAUGCAAGUCGAGCGAACAGACGAGGAGCUUGCUCCUCUGACGUUAGCGGCGGACGGGUGAGUAACACGUGGAUAACCUACCUAUAAGACUGGGAUAACUUCGGGAAACCGGAGCUAAUACCGGAUAAUAUAUUGAACCGCAUGGUUCAAUAGUGAAAGACGGUUUUGCUGUCACUUAUAGAUGGAUCCGCGCCGCAUUAGCUAGUUGGUAAGGUAACGGCUUACCAAGGCAACGAUGCGUAGCCGACCUGAGAGGGUGGUCGGCUACCCGGGAACUGAGACACGGUGGAGACUCCGACGGGAGGAAGCAGUAGGGAAUCUUACGCAAUGGGCGAAAGCCUGACGGAGCAACGCCGCGUGAGUGAUGAAGGUGUUCGGAUCGGAAAACUCUGUUAGUAGGGAAGAACAAAUGUGUAAGUAACUAUGCACGUCUUGACGGUACCUAAUAAGAAAGCCACGGCUAACUACGUG